RNAcentral lists this ribosomal RNA (354 nucleotides) under Solenoptera furfurosa. Its description in RNAcentral is "SSU rRNA". It matches the Rfam family "Eukaryotic small subunit ribosomal RNA", at positions 1172 to 1489 of the family's 1831-position model. Lineage: Eukaryota; Metazoa; Arthropoda; Insecta; Coleoptera; Cerambycidae. The record is from RNAcentral.
AGGAGUGGAGCCUGCGGCUUAAUUUGACUCAACACGGGAAACCUCACCAGGCCCGGACACCGGAAGGAUUGACAGAUUGAGAGCUCUUUCUUGAUUCGGUGGGUGGUGGUGCAUGGCCGUUCUUAGUUGGUGGAGCGAUUUGUCUGGUUAAUUCCGAUAACGAACGAGACUCUAGCCUGCUAACUAGGCGUAUUUCGACAUCCCAAAGGCCCGCCGGUUUGGGGUUUCGACUCCUUACCGCGCGCGGUUUUUACUGUCGGCGUACAAACAAUUCUUCUUAGAGGGACAGGCGGCUUCUAGCCGCACGAGAUUGAGCAAUAACAGGUCUGUGAUGCCCUUAGAUGUUCUGGGCCG